RNAcentral lists this ribosomal RNA (311 nucleotides) under uncultured eukaryote. RNAcentral describes it as "partial 18S ribosomal RNA". It matches the Rfam family "Eukaryotic small subunit ribosomal RNA", at positions 1470 to 1796 of the family's 1831-position model. The record is from RNAcentral.
CCCUUAGAUGUUCUGGGCUGCACGCGCGCUACAUUGUUGCUUCCAACGGGUUGUCGGUUUUGAGAAUUUAUCGUAAAUUCUAGAAACAAGCAGCGUAACUGGGAUAGACUAUUGUAAUUAUUACUCUUCAACGAGGAAUGCCUAGUAGGCGCAAGUCAUUACCUUGCGUCGAUUAAGUCCCUGCCCUUUGUACACACCGCCCGUCGCUCCUACCGAUUCGAGUGAUCCGGUGAACCUUUUGGACCGAGGCAGCUUGCUGUUUUGGAAAAUCAAGUAAACCACGUCACUUAGAGGAAGGAGAAGUCGUAACA